Molecule: ribosomal RNA, 1554 nt
Filed under: Escherichia coli
Lineage: Bacteria; Pseudomonadati; Pseudomonadota; Gammaproteobacteria; Enterobacterales; Enterobacteriaceae
Also listed under: 7 other names
Description: bacterial SSU rRNA
Rfam family: Bacterial small subunit ribosomal RNA
Source: RNAcentral
AAAUUGAAGAGUUUGAUCAUGGCUCAGAUUGAACGCUGGCGGCAGGCCUAACACAUGCAAGUCGAACGGUAACAGGAAGAAGCUUGCUUCUUUGCUGACGAGUGGCGGACGGGUGAGUAAUGUCUGGGAAACUGCCUGAUGGAGGGGGAUAACUACUGGAAACGGUAGCUAAUACCGCAUAACGUCGCAAGACCAAAGAGGGGGACCUUCGGGCCUCUUGCCAUCGGAUGUGCCCAGAUGGGAUUAGCUUGUUGGUGGGGUAACGGCUCACCAAGGCGACGAUCCCUAGCUGGUCUGAGAGGAUGACCAGCCACACUGGAACUGAGACACGGUCCAGACUCCUACGGGAGGCAGCAGUGGGGAAUAUUGCACAAUGGGCGCAAGCCUGAUGCAGCCAUGCCGCGUGUAUGAAGAAGGCCUUCGGGUUGUAAAGUACUUUCAGCGGGGAGGAAGGGAGUAAAGUUAAUACCUUUGCUCAUUGACGUUACCCGCAGAAGAAGCACCGGCUAACUCCGUGCCAGCAGCCGCGGUAAUACGGAGGGUGCAAGCGUUAAUCGGAAUUACUGGGCGUAAAGCGCACGCAGGCGGUUUGUUAAGUCAGAUGUGAAAUCCCCGGGCUCAACCUGGGAACUGCAUCUGAUACUGGCAAGCUUGAGUCUCGUAGAGGGGGGUAGAAUUCCAGGUGUAGCGGUGAAAUGCGUAGAGAUCUGGAGGAAUACCGGUGGCGAAGGCGGCCCCCUGGACGAAGACUGACGCUCAGGUGCGAAAGCGUGGGGAGCAAACAGGAUUAGAUACCCUGGUAGUCCACGCCGUAAACGAUGUCGACUUGGAGGUUGUGCCCUUGAGGCGUGGCUUCCGGAGCUAACGCGUUAAGUCGACCGCCUGGGGAGUACGGCCGCAAGGUUAAAACUCAAAUGAAUUGACGGGGGCCCGCACAAGCGGUGGAGCAUGUGGUUUAAUUCGAUGCAACGCGAAGAACCUUACCUGGUCUUGACAUCCACGGAAGUUUUCAGAGAUGAGAAUGUGCCUUCGGGAACCGUGAGACAGGUGCUGCAUGGCUGUCGUCAGCUCGUGUUGUGAAAUGUUGGGUUAAGUCCCGCAACGAGCGCAACCCUUAUCCUUUGUUGCCAGCGGUCCGGCCGGGAACUCAAAGGAGACUGCCAGUGAUAAACUGGAGGAAGGUGGGGAUGACGUCAAGUCAUCAUGGCCCUUACGACCAGGGCUACACACGUGCUACAAUGGCGCAUACAAAGAGAAGCGACCUCGCGAGAGCAAGCGGACCUCAUAAAGUGCGUCGUAGUCCGGAUUGGAGUCUGCAACUCGACUCCAUGAAGUCGGAAUCGCUAGUAAUCGUGGAUCAGAAUGCCACGGUGAAUACGUUCCCGGGCCUUGUACACACCGCCCGUCACACCAUGGGAGUGGGUUGCAAAAGAAGUAGGUAGCUUAACCUUCGGGAGGGCGCUUACCACUUUGUGAUUCAUGACUGGGGUGAAGUCGUAACAAGGUAACCGUAGGGGAACCUGCGGUUGGAUCACCUCCUUACCUUAAAGAAGC